GACGGCCGCCGGCCGUGCGCUGCCGCCGAGAGGAGCCCGGCCCGAGCGCCGCCCCCGGCCCGACUGGCGCUAGCGCCACCCCCAGGCGCGGAGGGCCAAGUGGCGCUGCUCCGCGUGGCGUCUCGCCCGCCGUCCGCCCACUUCCCCCGGACCCCACGGAGGGACUCCGGUAGGGGGCUGCCCCGCUUGGGGAUGAGGAACUGACCGCAGAUACUGGAAGGAGGCGGCCGUGCGGGGGCUUGGAGCCUCCUGCCGCUCCCGGUGCACUCCCGCGCCAGCCUGGAGGAAGUCCCCGCCAGAAGCCUCCGGCAGGUGGCCCCCCUUGCUGUCGCAGGUCUUGGAACAGGAUAGGCUGCGAGGAGGCCAGGCUGCAAUCUGAGACCCAUAUGGCCCCUACAAGGAAACUUUCCACUGAUGAAGCUACCGGCCAGCCCUUCCUCUUCCUUCUGUCCUGUCUCCUGCCUGUCCCUUGGGCAGUUUCCCAAAGUCUGUUCCUGCUGGCCCUGGAAGGUGGAUGUCUGUCAUCUCCAUGUUGCAGAUCAGAAGCAGCAGCAACUGCAUACAAUUCACCCAAGAUCAUCGUGCUAGCCAACAGUGAACUUACGCCUUGUUUUCAAACCUAGGCACUUUCCUUUUUGCUUUCUUUUCUAAUCAAGCAAUACUAAGGCAAACUUAUUCUCAUGCGUAUGAUGAUAUUUGGAAAACCUUGUGGAGAAAUGGAAAUAAAGAUAAGUUUACUUUGGUGCAAAAUAUAGAAAUCCAGGCAUAUUUUUUCAUAGCGUGCAUACUGUUAACUUUUUCAAGGCUGUGAUACAGGUCCCAAGGCUCUUUGCACUAGUGCAGAGAAGGAACAGUUCUUUCGAAAUCCACCUACAGUCCCAUCUCCUCUGAAAGUCUCACCCAGUUUAGUACCACCAGAAUCUAUUACCUCUGUUAUUCGAAAAAUGUGUGUGUGUUGGA
This is a non-coding RNA of Oryctolagus cuniculus (rabbit), 960 nucleotides long. Lineage: Eukaryota; Metazoa; Chordata; Mammalia; Lagomorpha; Leporidae. The record is from RefSeq and is a predicted model, not a curated record.